Molecule: ribosomal RNA, 518 nt
Filed under: uncultured Bifidobacterium sp.
Lineage: Bacteria; Bacillati; Actinomycetota; Actinomycetes; Bifidobacteriales; Bifidobacteriaceae
Description: bacterial SSU rRNA
Rfam family: Bacterial small subunit ribosomal RNA
Source: RNAcentral
GGGUGGUAAUGCCGGAUGCUCCGACAUGACGCAUGUCGUGUCGGGAAAGACUCAUCGGUAUGGGAUGGGGUCGCGUCCUAUCAGCUUGAUGGCGGGGUAACGGCCCACCAUGGCUUCGACGGGUAGCCGGCCUGAGAGGGCGACCGGCCACAUUGGGACUGAGAUACGGCCCAGACUCCUACGGGAGGCAGCAGUGGGGAAUAUUGCACAAUGGGCGCAAGCCUGAUGCAGCGACGCCGCGUGCGGGAUGACGGCCUUCGGGUUGUAAACCGCUUUUGACUGGAAGCAAGCCCUUCGGGGUGAGUGUACCUUUCGAAUAAGCACCGGCUAACUACGUGCCAGCAGCCGCGGUAAUACGUAGGGUGCAAGCGUUAUCCGGAAUUAUUGGGCGUAAAGGGCUCGUAGGCGGUUCGUCGCGUCCGGUGUGAAAGUCCAUCGCUUAACGGUGGAUCCGCGCCGGGUACSGGCGGGCUUGAGUGCGGUAGGGGAGACUGGAAUUCCCGGUGUAACGGUGGAAU